RNAcentral lists this ribosomal RNA (459 nucleotides) under uncultured bacterium. RNAcentral's name for it is "partial 16S ribosomal RNA". It matches the Rfam family "Bacterial small subunit ribosomal RNA", at positions 338 to 795 of the family's 1533-position model. The record is from RNAcentral.
CCUACGGGAGGCAGCCGUGAGGAAUAUUGGUCAAUGGACGAGAGUCUGAACCAGCCAAGUAGCGUGAAGGAUGACUGCCCUAUGGGUUGUAAACUUCUUUUAUCUGGGAAUCAAAUGUUCCCCGUGUGGGAUUUUGUAUGUACCAUAUGAAUAAUGAUCGGCUAACUCCGUGCCAACAGCCGCGGUACUACGGAGGAUGCGAGGGUUAUCCGGCUUUAUUGGGUUUAAGGGGUGCGCAGGCGGCCGUUUCAGUCAGCGGUAAACGCCCGGGGCUCAACCCCGGCCAGCCGGUGAAACUGGCGGGCUGGAGUUGGAGAGAAGUACGCGGAAUGCGCGGUGUAGCGGUGAAAUGCUUAGAUAUCGCGCAGAACCCCGAUUGCGAAGGCAGCGUACCGGCGCCAAACUGACGCUGAGGCACGAAAGCGUGGGUAUCGAACAGGAUUAGAUACCCCGGUAGUC